GCUGCAGAGAGCUGGAUUUCAUUUCCGUUCUAUUCUAAUAUUUAAAAAGUAUUUUAAAAGGAAUAAAAAAAGCUUGGUUUAAAUCUCUAUACAAAAAAAUACAUCGAUAUUUUUUUCUAAUUUUAAAAUACUAUGAUAAUAAAUAAGAAAGGGAAUAACUGACGUCCAAUGCAUCACAGCUUCACAUAAUCUCUUACCCAUCUAAUUGGUAAUUAGAUUUUUCUAACCUUCUAGAAUACAAGAACA
This 246-nucleotide long non-coding RNA is filed under the name Elaeis guineensis (African oil palm). Its description in RNAcentral is "long non-coding RNA (EGUI_LNC015670)". Lineage: Eukaryota; Viridiplantae; Streptophyta; Magnoliopsida; Arecales; Arecaceae. The record is from RNAcentral.